This 429-nucleotide ribosomal RNA is filed under the name Bacteroidota bacterium. RNAcentral's name for it is "Bacteroidetes bacterium partial 16S ribosomal RNA". It matches the Rfam family "Bacterial small subunit ribosomal RNA", at positions 355 to 776 of the family's 1533-position model. The record is from RNAcentral. Lineage: Bacteria; Pseudomonadati; Bacteroidota.
UAGGGAAUCUUCGGCAAUGGGGGGAACCCUGACCGAGCAACGCCGCGUGAGUGAAGAAGGUUUUCGGAUCGUAAAGCUCUGUUGUUAAGGAAGAACGAGUGUGAGAAUGGAAAGUUCAUGCUGUGACGGUACUUAACCAGAAAGGGACGGCUAACUACGUGCCAGCAGCCGCGUUAAUACGUAGGUCCCGAGCGUUGUCCGGAUUUAUUGGGCGUAAAGCGAGCGCAGGCGGUUAGAAAAGUCUGAAGUGAAAGGCAGUGGCUCAACCAUUGUAGGCUUUGGAAACUGUUUAACUUGAGUGCAGAAGGGGAGAGUGGAAUUCCAUGUGUAGCGGUGAAAUGCGUAGAUAUAUGGAGGAACACCGGUGGCGAAAGCGGCUCUCUGGUCUGUAACUGACGAUGAGGCUCGAAAGCGUGGGGAGCGAACAGG